This 106-nucleotide small RNA is filed under the name Arabidopsis thaliana (thale cress). RNAcentral's name for it is "ATSL204790". Lineage: Eukaryota; Viridiplantae; Streptophyta; Magnoliopsida; Brassicales; Brassicaceae. The record is from RNAcentral.
AGGAAUAGGGUUUCUCAUUAGGGAUUCAUAUGGUUUAGUAUAUUGCCCCCUUGCUAGGUUAUCUGUAGAAUUCUUCAUCUUUAAUUAUGAUUAAUGUUAGAUGAAC